GCGACGACGGGUAGCCGGCCUGAGAGGGCGACCGGCCACACUGGGACUGAGACACGGCCCAGACUCCUACGGGAGGCAGCAGUGGGGAAUAUUGCACAAUGGGCGAAAGCCUGAUGCAGCGACGCCGCGUGAGGGAUGACGGCCUUCGGGUUGUAAACCUCUUUCAGCAGGGAAGAAGCGAAAGUGACGGUACCUGCAGAAGAAGCGCCGGCUAACUACGUGCCAGCAGCCGCGGUAAUACGUAGGGCGCAAGCGUUGUCCGGAAUUAUUGGGCGUAAAGAGCUCGUAGGCGGCUUGUCACGUCGGUUGUGAAAGCCCGGGGCUUAACCCCGGGUCUGCAGUCGAUACGGGCAGGCUAGAGUUCGGUAGGGGAGAUCGGAAUUCCUGGUGUAGCGGUGAAAUGCGCAGAUAUCAGGAGGAACACCGGUGGCGAAGGCGGAUCUCUGGGCCGAUACUGACGCUGAGGAGCGAAAGCGUGGGGAGCGAACAGGAUUAGAUACCCUGGUAGUCCACGCCGUAAACGGUGGGCACUAGGUGUGGGCAACAUUCCACGUUGUCCGUGCCGCAGCUAACGCAUUAAGUGCCCCG
RNAcentral lists this ribosomal RNA (588 nucleotides) under Streptomyces sp. RNAcentral describes it as "bacterial SSU rRNA". It matches the Rfam family "Bacterial small subunit ribosomal RNA", at positions 273 to 871 of the family's 1533-position model. Lineage: Bacteria; Bacillati; Actinomycetota; Actinomycetes; Kitasatosporales; Streptomycetaceae. The record is from RNAcentral.